Long non-coding RNA from Canis lupus familiaris (dog), 345 nucleotides. RefSeq lists it as uncharacterized. The transcript has 3 exons. NCBI's taxonomy places the organism in Eukaryota, Metazoa, Chordata, Mammalia, Carnivora, Canidae. The record is from RefSeq and is a predicted model, not a curated record.
AAAGACCCACGAGGGGCAGCAAGAGGAAGGAAUGGCCUGACUGAUCACAGAAGCUGAACCCUGACAGAGCUCUGACUUUGAACUUCACUUCUGCUUGGAUGGGAAGAAAAACACGACUUCUCCUAAGCAAGGAUUUUAAUUGUCAUGAAUGCACAGCAAACUGUGGCUCCAUACCCAGCAUGGAGCCAACAUGAGGUUCAAACUCAGAGAUUAAUUUGAGAUUAAGACCUAAGCUGACAAUAGCCAAACUGUGGAAGGAGCCUCGGUGUCCAUCGAAAGAUGAAUGGAUAAAGAAGAUGUGGUUUAUGUAUACAAUGGAAUAUUACUCAGCCAUUAGAAACGACA